AUAUUGGCGAGAGACCGAUAGCGAACAAGUACCGUGAGGGAAAGAUGAAAAGCACUUUGGAAAGAGAAUGAAAUAGUACAUGAAAUUGCUGAAAGGGAAACGAGUGAAGUUAGACUUGCGCGGUUGGUAUUCAGCCUUGGCUUCGGUCUUGGUGCAUUUGCCAAUCAUUGCAGGCCAGCAUCAGUUUACUUUGCUGUAAAAGGGUUGGAGGAACGUGGCUCUUUCGGGAGUGUUAUAGCCUCCUUCUGGAUGCAGAAUCGUAGACUGAGGAACGCAGCGCGCCAUUAUGGCAAAGCUUUUAAGCUUCGAGCGCUAAGGAUGCUGGUAGAAUAGCUUUACACGACCCGUCUUGAAACACGGACC
Molecule: ribosomal RNA, 363 nt
Filed under: uncultured fungus
Lineage: Eukaryota; Fungi
Description: LSU rRNA
Rfam family: Eukaryotic large subunit ribosomal RNA
Source: RNAcentral